CGAGACCUCAGGUCAGGCGGGGCUACCCGCUGUAGUUUAAGCAUAUCAUUAAGC
This 54-nucleotide ribosomal RNA is filed under the name Indigofera rugosa. Its description in RNAcentral is "partial 28S ribosomal RNA". The record is from RNAcentral. Lineage: Eukaryota; Viridiplantae; Streptophyta; Magnoliopsida; Fabales; Fabaceae.